This 300-nucleotide ribosomal RNA is filed under the name uncultured Azospirillum sp. Its description in RNAcentral is "partial 16S ribosomal RNA". The stretch from base 52 to 300 matches the Rfam family "Bacterial small subunit ribosomal RNA", at positions 547 to 795 of the family's 1533-position model. Lineage: Bacteria; Pseudomonadati; Pseudomonadota; Alphaproteobacteria; Rhodospirillales; Azospirillaceae. The record is from RNAcentral.
GGAAAGGAGGGGAGGGCAGGGGAGGUAAUGCGGUGGGGGUUGGGGGUGGUGGGAAGUAAUGGGCGUAAAGCGCACGUAGGCGGCUUUGGAAGUUAGAGGGGAAAGCCCGGGGCUCAACUCCGGAAUUGCCUUUAAGACUGCAUCGCUAGAAUUGUGGAGAGGUAAGUGGAAUUCCGAGUGUAGAGGUGAAAUUCGUAGAUAUUCGGAAGAACACCAGUGGCGAAGGCGACUUACUGGACACAUAUUGACGCUGAGGUGCGAAAGCGUGGGGAGCAAACAGGAUUAGAUACCCCUGUAGUC